GUGGGGAAUAUUGGACAAUGGGCGAAAGCCUGAUCCAGCCAUGCCGCGUGUGUGAAGAAGGUCUUCGGAUUGUAAAGCACUUUAAGUUGGGAGGAAGGGUAGUAACCUAAUACGUUGCUACUUUGACGUUACCGACAGAAUAAGCACCGGCUAACUUCGUGCCAGCAGCCGCGGUACUACGAAGGGUGCAAGCGUUAAUCGGAAUUACUGGGCGUAAAGCGCGCGUAGGGGGUUUUGUAAGUUGGAGGUGAAAUCCCCGGGCUCAACCUGGGAACUGCCUCCAAAACUGCAUGACUAGAGUACGGUAGAGGGUAGUGGAAUUUCCUGUGUAGCGGUGAAAUGCGUAGAUAUAGGAAGGAACACCAGUGGCGAAGGCGACUACCUGGACUGAUACUGACACUGAGGUGCGAAAGCGAGGGGAGCAAAUGGGAUUAGAUACCCCUGUAGUCC
RNAcentral lists this ribosomal RNA (450 nucleotides) under uncultured bacterium. RNAcentral describes it as "partial 16S ribosomal RNA". It matches the Rfam family "Bacterial small subunit ribosomal RNA", at positions 354 to 796 of the family's 1533-position model. The record is from RNAcentral.